UCUCCUACGGGAGGCAGCAGUGGGGAAUAUUGGACAAUGGGCGCAAGCCUGAUCCAGCAAUGCCGCGUGUGUGAAGAAGGCCUUCGGGUUGUAAAGCACUUUUAUCAGGAGCGAAAUACUACCGGCUAAUACCCGGUGGGGCUGACGGUACCUGAGGAAUAAGCACCGGCUAACUUCGUGCCAGCAGCCGCGGUAAUACGAAGGGUGCAAGCGUUAAUCGGAAUUACUGGGCGUAAAGCGUGCGUAGGCGGUUCUUUAAGUCUGCUGUGAAAUCCCCGGGCUCAACCUGGGAAUGGCAGUGGAUACUGGAGAGCUAGAGUGUGUCAGAGGAUGGUGGAAUUCCCGGUGUAGCGGUGAAAUGCGUAGAGAUCGGGAGGAACAUCAGUGGCGAAAGCGGCCAUCUGGGCCAACACUGACGCUGAGGCACGAAAGCGUGGGGAGCAAACAGGAUUAGAUACCCUGGUAGUCCAGCCGGGCAUCUUCUCUUCUUGAUGAAUCCUUCUCCUCCGCAAGCUCGCCGCUAUCUCGACGCAGACGUAAAA
This 542-nucleotide ribosomal RNA is filed under the name uncultured bacterium. Its description in RNAcentral is "bacterial SSU rRNA". It matches the Rfam family "Bacterial small subunit ribosomal RNA", at positions 335 to 873 of the family's 1533-position model. The record is from RNAcentral.